CCUGACUGCUAUCGGAUUGAUACUAAGCCAUGCGAGUCAUUGCAGUAAUGCAAGGCAGACGGCUCAGUAACGCGUAGUCAACCUACCCUAUGGACGGGAAUAACCUCGGGAAACUGAGUAUAAUGCCCGAUAGAACACUAUACCUGGAAUGGUUUGUGUUCCAAAUGAAUGUCGCCGUAGGAUGGGACUGCGGCCUAUCAGUUUGUUGGUGAGGCAAUGGCCCACCAAGACUAUUACAGGUACGGGCUCUGAGAGGAGUAGCCCGGAGAUGGGUACUGAGACACGGACCCAGGCCCUAUGGGGCGCAGCAGGCGAGAAAACUUUGCAAUGUGCGAAAGCACGACAAGGUUAAUCCGAGUGGUUUGUGCUAAACGAACCUUUUGACAGUCCUAGAAACACUGUUGAAUAAGGGGUGGGCAAGUUCUGGUGUCAGCCGCCGCGGUAAAACCAGCACCUCAAGUGGUCAGGAUGAUUAUUGGGCCUAAAGCAUCCGUAGCCGGCUCUGUAAGUUUUCGGUUAAAUCUGUACGCUCAACGUACAGGCUGCCGGGAAUACUGCAGAGCUAGGGAGUGGGAGAGGUAGACGGUACUCGGUAGGAAGGGGUAAAAUCCUUUGAUCUAUUGAUGACCACCUGUGGCGAAGGCGGUCUACCAGAACACGUCCGACGGUGAGGGAUGAAAGCUGGGGGAGCAAACCGGAUUAGAUACCCGGGUAGUCCCAGCUGUAACUAUGCAAACUCAGUGAUGCAUUGGC
Molecule: ribosomal RNA, 753 nt
Filed under: uncultured bacterium
Lineage: Bacteria
Description: bacterial SSU rRNA
Rfam family: Archaeal small subunit ribosomal RNA
Source: RNAcentral